GAUGAACGCUGGCGGCGUGCCUAAUACAUGCAAGUCGAGCGAACAGACGAGGAGCUUGCUCCUCUGACGUUAUCGGCGGACGUGUGAGUAACACGUGGAUAACCUACCUAUAAGACUGGGAUAACUUCGGGAAACCGGAGCUAAUACCGGAUAAUAUAUUGAACCGCAUGGUUCAAUAGUGAAAUACGGUUGUGCUGUCACUUAAAGAUGGAUCCUCGCCUCAGUAGCUAGGUGGGAAGGUAACGGCUUACCAAGGCAACGAUGCGUAGCCGACGUGAGGGGUGGACGGGCCACACUGGAACUGAAACACGGUCCAGACUCCUACGGGAGGCAGAAGUAGGGAAUCUUCCGAAAUGGGCGAAAGCCUGACGGAGCAACGCCGCGUGAGUGAUGAAGGUCUUCGGAUCGUAAAACUCUGUUAUUAGGGAAGAACAAAUGUGUAAGUAACUAUGCACGUCUUGACGGUACCUAAUCAGAAAGCCACGGCUAACUACGUG
This 497-nucleotide ribosomal RNA is filed under the name uncultured bacterium. RNAcentral describes it as "partial 16S ribosomal RNA". It matches the Rfam family "Bacterial small subunit ribosomal RNA", at positions 28 to 507 of the family's 1533-position model. The record is from RNAcentral.